CCUUAGUGGCCUGAAAGGGUUUCAUCAGCGACUCUAAACAAGUAGGUGGAUUAAACGCUAGUCUCUUUCAAAGAGGCGACACUAUCAAAUUGCGGGAAGAUCCUGUCAGGUCCACAUCACCGCGGCUCACCGAAAGGUGUAGUGCAGCACCAGGCUAACAACCUUGGGUAUGGUAAUAGUAUGUGGAAUAGGGAGAAUCUGCAGCCAAGCCCCUCUCCUGGGGUGCAGUUCACAGGCCAAAUGGUAGUGGGCACUCUGGUGCUUAAGAUAUGGUCGAGUCCCAAUUGAAAAAUUGGGUACAAGUACUCUGAUUGAUUACAUACAGUCUAUGCUCAGUCAAAUACAGCUAGUUGUAAAUGCAAAUGUUCCGUAGGUGAACCUGC
Molecule: ribosomal RNA, 383 nt
Filed under: uncultured Sebacinales
Lineage: Eukaryota; Fungi; Basidiomycota; Agaricomycetes; Sebacinales
Description: partial 18S ribosomal RNA
Rfam family: Group I catalytic intron (bases 12-297)
About the family: Group I catalytic introns are large self-splicing ribozymes.
Source: RNAcentral